Molecule: ribosomal RNA, 233 nt
Filed under: uncultured bacterium
Lineage: Bacteria
Description: partial 16S ribosomal RNA
Rfam family: Bacterial small subunit ribosomal RNA
Source: RNAcentral
CGGGUGAGUAACGCGUGAGGAACCUGCCUCAAAGAGGGGGACAACAGUUGGAAACGACUGCUAAUACCGCAUAAGCCCACGGCUCGGCAUCGAGCAGAGGGAAAAGGAGCAAUCCGCUUUGAGAUGGCCUCGCGUCCGAUUAGCUAGUUGGUGAGGUAAUGGCCCACCAAGGCGACGAUCGGUAGCCGGACUGAAAGGUUGAACGGCCACAUUGGGACUGAGACACGGCCCAG